Molecule: long non-coding RNA, 415 nt
Filed under: Salvia miltiorrhiza (redroot sage)
Lineage: Eukaryota; Viridiplantae; Streptophyta; Magnoliopsida; Lamiales; Lamiaceae
Description: long non-coding RNA (SMIL_LNC001995)
Source: RNAcentral
AAAAUGACCAACCCUACAUCUAUCACUUGUGAGCCCCUUUUGAGCUUAAUGAUUCAUUUGAAUUCACUUAUAAAUUUUGCCUAGAUUUGAGCCGUCCCGGUCAAACUGAACUUAAGGGCAAAAGAAAGGGAGAUAGUGUAGUAGAUCCUAUGGGCAGGACUAGUGCAAAAAUUGCAAAAUGGGACAUCUAAUCCCAAAGUAAAGAAAAAGUCCAGAAAGAAAAUAAAAAAAAAAAUAGAAAAAGAAAAGAAAAAAAAUGAGGAAGAAUGUGCUUAGGCCCGCGAGAAUAGGCAAAGGUUUUAAAAAUCUGGGAGGUCAUAUGCCCAGAACGAAGUUCAGAAUGACCUUAGCCUCGUACCAAAAAUUCUCACCUUAUGCCUUAAGCCACAUUACAACCAAUAAAAGACCUAAUGAG